This 497-nucleotide ribosomal RNA is filed under the name uncultured bacterium. RNAcentral describes it as "partial 16S ribosomal RNA". It matches the Rfam family "Bacterial small subunit ribosomal RNA", at positions 28 to 507 of the family's 1533-position model. The record is from RNAcentral.
GAUGAACGCUGGCGGCGUGCCUAAUACAUGCAAGUCGAGCGAACGGACGACAAUCUUGCUUUUCUGAUGUUAGCGACGGGCGGGUGACUAACACGUGGAUUACCUAUCUAUAAGGCUUGGAUAACUUCGGGAAACCGUAAUUAAUACUGGGUAAUAUUUUUAACCGCAUGGUUCAAAAAUGAAAGGGGGUCUUGCUGUCACUUCUAGGUGUAUCCGCUCUGCAUUAGCUAGUUGGUAAGGUAACGGCUUACCAAGGCAACGAUGGAUAGCCGACCUGAGAGGGUGAUCGGCCACACUGGAACUGAGACACGGUCCAGACUCCUACGGGAGGCAGCAGUAGGGAAUCUUCCGCAAUGGGCGGAAGCCUGCAGGAGCAACGCAGCGUGAGUGAUGAAGGUCUGCGGAUCGUAAAACUCUGUUAGUAGGGAAGAACACUUGUGUAAGUAACUGUGCACAGCGUGACGGUACUUAAUCAGAAAGCCACGGCUAACUACGUG